This 490-nucleotide ribosomal RNA is filed under the name Epinephelus fuscoguttatus (brown-marbled grouper). RNAcentral's name for it is "partial 16S ribosomal RNA". It matches the Rfam family "Bacterial large subunit ribosomal RNA", at positions 1818 to 2513 of the family's 2925-position model. The record is from RNAcentral. Lineage: Eukaryota; Metazoa; Chordata; Actinopteri; Perciformes; Serranidae.
GCCUCUUGCUAAACCGAAAGUAUAAGAGGUCCCGCCUGCCCUGUGACUAUAUGUUUAACGGCCGCGGUAUUUUGACCGUGCGAAGGUAGCGCAAUCACUUGUCUUUUAAAUGGGGACCUGUAUGAAUGGCAUAACGAGGGCUUAACUGUCUCCUCUUUCAAGUCAAUGAAAUUGAUCUCCCCGUGCAGAAGCGAGGAUAGAUACAUAAGACGAGAAGACCCUAUGGAGCUUUAGACACUAAAGCAGAUCAGUAUUAAUACCCUGAACAUAGACUACGAAUAAACUGACCCCUGCCCUAAUGUCUUUGGUUGGGGCGACCGCGGAGAAAAAUAAAACCCCCGCAAGGACUAAAUGUACUACAUUCACAAACAAGAGCGACAGCUCUAACUAACAGAACUUCUGACCAAUAAGAUCCGGCAAUGCCGAUCAAUGAACCGAGUUACCCUAGGGAUAACAGCGCAAUCUCCUCUUAGAGCCCAUAUCGACGAGG